CAUGAACUCUUUGUACGUGUAAACGAAAUCAUGUGAAGAUGGAUCUCUUGGGAACUACCCUCAAGAAUGCCAUUCUACCUACCUACCCUCAACGCGACGGUACGAAGCAAGGAAACUUUUCCAACACUUAUUCCACCGCUUGAGAAGACAAAAGUGUUAUUUAGCAAGUUUUACAACCGUCUGCGUGACUCUCCCGGUUCAUCUUGGCUGAUUUGCAGUGUUGAUGAUCGGCAAAAGUAGGUCCUUUGUGCUAUUAUUCCAGAGGUGGAGAGGCAGUUUCAAGACAAGUAUCACACCGAGUUGAUGGAAGAGACCAGUUUUGGUGAUCAAGUUUCUACAUGCUCCCUACCUCAGUUUGGUGUGGACUCACUUGCUCCGUUCUUACCUGUGCAAUAUGACCCCUCCAAGUACAUGGGCAUCUUUCAUGCUCGUAUGAUUGUGGUGGUGACUCAGCCAGUUCAUAAGAUUGCUCAGGGCGCGUCGUUACAGAAUAGGUUUGUUCCCAUGCUGUCCGUGGUGAUUGAUAAGCAGCUAGAUCAAGCUGAUAAGCCGAGAUAUCUGCCAGGCAGAAGGGCAGCCAAAAGAAGAGUGGAGUUUCAGGAGGGAUGUAUGAGCCAAAGAACAGUGUUUACAGAUCCAAGUCGACUCUGUGAGCUAUUACGUGGGAGUUUGGAACAUGCACCAGGCAAGCACAUAGGUGAAGAGCUGCUGAGAGUAGGAGGGAUAUAUGCUCAGUCUGGAGGGGACAAACAAGAAAAGAGAGUGUCAAAGAAGUUUGAUCAUAGCGAGUACUCAGGGAUAUUAUGGAGGGAUAAGAGAUGAUAACGGGGAUGGAGUCACUAGACGUCAACGAGGAACAUUUUGAGUAUUGGACUGAGGUAUUUGGACUACUGAAUGAAGAUACUGAGUGCCCAGAAGGACCCCCUUUUUGAUGUGAAGAAGACUGUGACGUGAGCUGCAGUGUAUUUAAGUCGCAUUGAAGAUGAUGUGUUCUUGCUGAGACUCAGUAUUAUUGCUGAGGUUACGUCGGUACAUUACAGCCAUCUCUGUUCUGUUAGAGAUGUGAGAGUCUGCUCUCCGAGGCGAGUGUUCCUGUCACUGGGACUGUUGAAGACUAGUAACCGUGGUUGUCGGUGUUGAUCCAUCAGCUGCGACGUUGGAGGUAUUUUGCCCGGGUUGGUGUCGUUGGCUGUGAUUGUUCUCUAGACAUGAGAUGUUCAAACUGCUUGGGUAUGUUCUCGGUUGCUGAGAGCUGGUCAUUUCUAUUCAUGCACUAGUUGAGAGUUACUUGUAGUUCUUACUUUUUCACGGAAGUCUCUGAAUUUUAGGCUGACUUUAGUCAGGGCUUCUGAUUACCGUCAAGCGCUCCACAUUGAUGAUGGCGGUGUUGCUUGUUCCAAGUGUGCUAUCUAUGGUAGUUGUCGCUGACAGUCUCGUCACGGUAAACUCACGAGGUUGAUGAGUCGGUUUCCAGUCUCGCUCUAUGGUACUCUGUAUAUUGGAUGCCUGUGCCUCAGUUUGUGAUUACUGUUGUUCAGGGAGAUGCUUGUCUUGGACAUCUCGACAUUGAAUCGUGGUGCUUUUAUCGUAUAAGAUGGAAGUCGCGCCACGACUUCAUCUAAGGGGAGGAUGAUGUUAGGGAUCAACGGCUAAGAAAUAGCCGCCUGAUUAGUCACCCGUGAACCGAUAGCGGAGUUCCGUCGGGACCCCGCGGAGACUACGAUGAGAGGCCACCACGUUGGCUCUCAGUGGAACCACGCUAUCAUUAAUAUCGAUAUGCACCGACAAGGGUUACGGCGCAACUCUAGAU
This 1810-nucleotide unclassified non-coding RNA is filed under the name Yarrowia lipolytica. The record is from RNAcentral. Lineage: Eukaryota; Fungi; Ascomycota; Dipodascomycetes; Dipodascales.